GUGGCUAUAAGCAGUCUAACCGCAGAGGGCCGUGUCUUGUUUGUUCUCUGCCCGCGACGGCUUUUAGAAACUCAAAGUUUUAGCCUUAUUUCGGGAUUAGGUCUCUGGUCGGAAGCCUCCUCUAUUGGCUCAGCUGGAGACAGGGAGGGGCCCUUGGAGGAGGACCGGCCCUCCCUCCAUCAGACUCAGCAGCACUUUCAUCAUUUCGUGGGAAUCGGAAGGUGGAGGAGGAAGCGUGGAGGGCAGAAGGGCCUGCCCGGUUGGGGUUCUUCCGCAGGCAGCCGUUAGCCGUCUCUACCCCCCUGACAACAGUGCAGAAUUGUGUAACGGCCCAGUUUCCCCUUUCUCCGCGGUUCCCAGAAGCUUUGAGCCAGCCCCUGCUACCUGAGGGUGUCCGAUUCUGUACCCCGCUGGUUUCUGCAGAACAGCUGUUGGGUGACUGGAUCAGAGGUGACUGACUGUGACAAGCCUGCUGAUAACAGGAGACAGAUAGCAGGAACCCCAAGUGAGACACUCGGAAGGGAGCCGGCCCGAGCUCUGCACUGACGUGCUGGAGGCGGCGGCUGUGGGUCACAGCGCAUUCAGCAGCUCACCACAUCCAGCAGGCACCUCAGAGAUUCUCUCUCUGGCUGGCAGGAUGACCGAAAGGCCCAUCCAUCUGUGUCCCAGUGUCUACAACACAAACACUACAGGGUGCCACGGCAUGUCUGUAAUUUAGCACUUGGAAGGAUGGACAGGACUGGCUUGCAUUCAAAGCCAUAGUGUCCACAGUGAGGCCAAGUGAACAACCUCCUGCUGAGGACAAUAACGAAGGAGAGCUGCAUUCCCAGGUGCCAGAGGCAGGUGGAUCUCCGUGAGUUCAAGGAUGGCCUGGUCUACAUAGUAAGUUCUAAGACAGCCAGGACUGCAGAGAGACCCUGUCUCAAACAAUCAACAAAACAA
This is a long non-coding RNA of Peromyscus maniculatus bairdii (prairie deer mouse), 942 nucleotides long. RefSeq lists it as uncharacterized. Lineage: Eukaryota; Metazoa; Chordata; Mammalia; Rodentia; Cricetidae. The record is from RefSeq and is a predicted model, not a curated record.